UACGUAGGGGGCAAGCGUUGUCCGGAUUUAUUGGGCGUAAAGCGCUCGCAGGCGGCUCGAUGCGUCGUGCGUGAAACACCCCGGCUCAACUGGGGAGGGUCGUGCGAUACGGUCGGGCUGGAGGCCAGUAGGGGGAUGCGGAAUUCCGGGUGUAGUGGUGGAAUGCGCAGAUAUCGGGAAGAACACCCGUGGCGAAGGCGGCUCUCUGGGCCGGUACUGACGCUGAGACGCGAAAGCGUGGGGAGCGAACAGG
This 253-nucleotide ribosomal RNA is filed under the name uncultured bacterium. RNAcentral describes it as "partial 16S ribosomal RNA". It matches the Rfam family "Bacterial small subunit ribosomal RNA", at positions 524 to 776 of the family's 1533-position model. The record is from RNAcentral.